UACGUAGGAUCCUAGCGUUGUCCGGAUUUACUGGGUGUAAAGGGUGCGCAGGCGGACUUAUAAGUCAGUGGUGAAAUCUCGGCGCUCAACGCCGAAACUGCCUUUGAUACUAUAAGUCUUGAGUUUGGUAGAGAUCCGUGGAAUUCCGAGUGUAGCAGUGAAAUGCGUAGAGAUCCGGAGGAACACCGAAGGCGAAGGCAGUGUCCUGGGGAGUACCUGACGCUCAGGUGCGAAAGCCAGGGGAGCGAACGGG
This 253-nucleotide ribosomal RNA is filed under the name uncultured bacterium. Its description in RNAcentral is "partial 16S ribosomal RNA". It matches the Rfam family "Bacterial small subunit ribosomal RNA", at positions 524 to 776 of the family's 1533-position model. The record is from RNAcentral.